AUCAUAUUAGACGUUCAGCGCUUGAAACGAUUUGUUGUUUGUAAUCAAAUCUUACAAGAUGAAAUCUACCGUGAUUUUCCUUGUCGUUCUCGUAGCGAUGGCUUCCGGUCAACGUUAUAACAUCGACCCGGGUUUUUACCUACCUUCCAGACCCAACCAGGGAUACCAACCAAUAAACACUCAACCGACGUUCAUUGGCCCAGGGGGCAAUAACUUCAGGCCCUACCCCCGACUUACAAACAACCCCUUAGCGCGCGGCGGUUGAAGAGCUAUUUAACAAAAUCACCAUUUUUGAACACUUUAUCGCAGAAGAAAAUAAUAAAAUAUAUAUCUAAUGUAUAAAUACAGCUUAUCAAAUUUGAAUAUUUUGUUUCAUAUUAUAU
Melitaea cinxia (Glanville fritillary) is the source of this 383-nucleotide long non-coding RNA. RefSeq lists it as uncharacterized. The transcript has 6 exons. The record is from RefSeq and is a predicted model, not a curated record. NCBI's taxonomy places the organism in Eukaryota, Metazoa, Arthropoda, Insecta, Lepidoptera, Nymphalidae.